Molecule: long non-coding RNA, 1242 nt
Filed under: Jatropha curcas
Lineage: Eukaryota; Viridiplantae; Streptophyta; Magnoliopsida; Malpighiales; Euphorbiaceae
Description: long non-coding RNA (JCUR_LNC001469)
Source: RNAcentral
CAAGUCUGUGGAAUGCAGAUGAUUGGGCCACAAGAGGUGGUCUUGUGAAGACAGAUUGGAGUCGAGCUCCCUUCACUGCUUCUUACAGAAACUUCAACGCCAAUGCUUGUAUUUGGUCUAAUGGAGCAUCUUCUUGCAAAUCUAAUUCACCUUCCGGUAGUAAUGUGUGGCUGUCACAAGAAUUAGACACAAACAGUCAAGAUAGGCUCCAGUGGGUACAAAAGAAUUACAUGAUCUAUAAUUACUGCACAGACACUAAAAGAUUUCCUCAAGGCAUCCCUCCAGAAUGCAGCAUGUCAUAGAAGGCUGAGAAGGACAUAACAUUCAAUACAAUUUUUGUUUUUCUUUUUCAACAUAUCUUGAUUCUUUUUCUUUACAUUCUUUUGUUCUAUGCAAUUAGAUAUGACAAAAUUCGUUCUAUGUAAAGCUGCUUUGAAUCUUGAUUAAUGCUAUUUGUUCAUUAUCUCCAUUGAGAUCUUCAUAUCCAGGUUGGAAUGAAGCAUAUAUGAGCAACUUAAGGACAAGAGAUUUGAAAUUCGAUAACAUGAGUCUAGCUUUUCUUCAAAUUGCAUAAUUCAGAAGUACAAGUAAAAAAUUAGGCAAGGUAGUGGCGAGAUCGCCCUCCAACUGAAAGCGAGAACUUUUGUCAAACAGCUGGUCUGCAGUUUGUUUGCAGUGUGCUCUGAAAAAUGUUAGUUUCUUUUUUGGUGUGUUCUGUUAACUAAAGACGCAUGCCGCUAAAUGGAAAUCAAUAUAGGAUGCAUAAUUUGCUCAAUUAAGAAAAUGAAUUUACAUACAGUUUUUGCACAAACAAAAGAUAAACCAAUCUGAACAGUAAUUUAAUGAAAUGUAGAGAGCCAUCAUAAUUUUCGCUUGAGAAAGUGCUAGUCUUAGGUCGUAUAUAGCUUUUAUGCUAUAUACUUAUAGCCAUCCAAUUCCAGUAAGAACAGAUCAUUUUUAUUAUACCCCCAACUUUACGGCUUAUUAUAAUUACACUCUAAAACCAACCCAACUGACAGACACUCCAGAAUCUGCAGUUCUUGCUGCACUUGGGUUGGCGGUGUUGCAUCUUCAAUCCCUUCUCUCUAGUCUAUGCUUCUCUCCUACCUUGGUUGUCCUCUGUCUUCCUCUCCCACCGCCUUUUGGCAUCUAGCAUCCAGGUCUGAGAGAGAGGGAUUUUGAGAUGAGAUCCAUGAAGGAGGGGUAGAGAAGGGAGAGAUGAAACGGUAAGGUUUCUUUUGU